RNA transcript from Pecten maximus, 3796 nucleotides. RefSeq lists it as uncharacterized. The transcript is spliced from 10 exons. Lineage: Eukaryota; Metazoa; Mollusca; Bivalvia; Pectinida; Pectinidae. The record is from RefSeq and is a predicted model, not a curated record.
GCGUAGGUUUCCACACAUUCAUCGUCGUUUAACUCAUGCGUAAUGUCUGUCACACGGAGUGCUGGUUACGUGCUAUAAUUAGAUCAUGUGGAAAACACAUUUUGGAAAACACCGUGUGCAAAAAAUGUGUACAAUAUGAAUAUUUAUGAGCUCCCGGUAUGCUUUGCGGUGACCUUCCCGGGAAUCGUUGAUUGUGAAGAUGGUACACACUUGUUGAAGACGGUCCGUACGGAAGUUACGUGAUCGAGAGUACCAAGCAACAUGCCCAGCAAACUUAAAGUGGUAUUAAAGAAUACACACGAUAAAGAAAAACAUGCUGAGCGAAUGCGAGUGGCCAGACAUGAAUGGUCGGAGGAGCAAAAGCAAAAAAACCGAGAAAUGUCCAAGAUCAGAAUGAGGGAAUACAGAGAAAGAAAAAAGACGGAGAGAGAAAAGACAAACAAUUCAGAAGUCCGAAAAAUGGCAACAAGACAAGAAAAAAAAGCAAAAGAAGAGCAAAAUAAAAGAAAAGCUGAAUACAGAAAGAAAUAUAGAGCUGGCUUGUCAAGCCAAAAGAAAAGGCGUAUACGAGAAAAAGAUGCAAAAAGAAAGCAAGAAAAGAGGUGCAAGAAUAUGAUAGGAGCAACGACUGUUGUCCAAUCAGUACCUAUCACAACUGAGAACACAAAGACCCCUUUGUCUGACAGUGCUUUAAAAAAGGCUGUCUACCGGGCUAAAAAGAGAUUGCCAAAGUCUCCAUCCAAAUUUGCAGAUGUUGUUUCUGGCCUUGUAAGCAAUGCCACACCAAGAAAAAAACUUGCUUUAAGCAAUAAAGGAUUGGAUUCCUCUGAAACAAAGAAAAACUUGGACAAUAUCCUGCAAUCUAUCAAAGAUGUGGACUUAGAUAUGAGAGGAAGGGACAGAGAGAGUCGUAUGAAAAGGAAGAGUUUUAUUGGGUCCCUCUCUGAACAUGUUAAGAAAAGACACGGAAUGACAUCAACUUUCAGCGCAGCACUUGGCAUACAAAGAAAGUACUUUUCACAAGGGUGUCUUAAAGAACAAAAGAAAAGAAAAGACUGCAUUGCUAAAGAAACAGAAGAGUCAAUCCAGAACUUUUUUUGUCAAGAUAAUGUGUCGACUAACUUACCAAACAAAAAAAACAUCAAGAAAGAUGCUGUAGAGUGUAGAGUUAUCCAAGGAUCACUUCACAGUGUAUGGAAUAAAUGGAAAGAAGCAAAUCCCAACAAAGCUAUUUCAUAUGACAAAUUCACCAAACUCAAGCCUAAGGUUGUUAAAACACAAAAACACAGAAAAUACCUGCAGUGUUUGUGUGAAUACUGCGAGAAUCUAAGAUUGAAGAUGGUAGCUAUCAACAAGCUUUCUCAAGAACAGAAGCCUACACUAAAAAUGAAAAGUAUCCAGGAGGCCGUGGAGAAGACUCUUUGCCCCAGGACUGGUCCAUUCCACAGCCUUAAAUGUAUUGACAGGGAAUGUGUAGACUGCGGAACCGGAAAACUGCAUGCAGACCUCAUUGCUGCAUUAGAAGAAAAAGACCAAGAAUGGAAAAAGUGGGCGCUACAAGUAUCGAUAAACAAAAGAAAUGGUAAAGAAAUAAAAAAGAAAGAACUCACAGUUAGUAAAGGAAAAACAUCAGAAUUGAUUGCUGAAUUUGAAAAAGAACUCCACUUCCUCUCCAAACACUUAUUUGAAGCCAAUUGGCAAAUUUCGCAGUUCGGAAUUCUGACCAAAAACAUUCCACCUGCAACAAUUGCUUUAGCUAUUGACUUUGCCGAGAACUACUCUUGCAUGUCUCAAAAUGAAGUACAAUCAGCACAUUGGUCAAAAGAAUCUGUUACAAUACAUCCCGCAGUUGUUUAUUAUCAAUGUCCCACCUGUCCAGGUGAAGUGGUGGAGGAGUGUUGCGAUAUCAUCAGCGAUGAUUUAAUACAUGAUGCCCAUGCUGUUAAUGCCUUUCUCCAUAGAAUAUUCCAACAUCUGAAAACUAAGAGAGGAUUGCAGGUCAAUAAAGCAUUCAUUAUGAGCGACGGUUGCGCGGCACAAUACAAGUCAAAAAUUCCAUUUUGUGACGCAGCGAACGCCAUCACUGAGUUUGGGUUUAUAGUGCAGCGCGACUUCUAUGGGUCCAGACAUGGGAAAAAUAGGUGUGAUGGGGAGGGGGGCGUUUUAAAAUCGAGGGUGACAAGGGCGGUCAAAAACGGCGAGGCUGAGAUUGUCUCAGCAUCAGACUUUUACACCUUUUGUAGGGACAACCUCGAAAAGGACUCCAAAGAUGAUAAUGGAAAGUGUCUACACAAGAGAAGGCAUCUUCUCUAUGUUGCAUUGGAAAACAUUCAAAGACCACGCCCUGAAAGAAACAUUCGCACCAUUCCAGGCACUCAAAAAAUCCAUUCACUGGUUGGCGUUGAAAGGGAAAUGGUUAAGACAAGGCGUCUGUCCUGUUUUUGCCAGAAUUGCCUAUAUGGUACACCCGAGAAUUGCCAGCAGAAGGAGUACAUAGAUCAAUGGAAGCCAAUUCGCCUGAAAUAUCUCCAACAACCACAACCAGCUGUUGAUGUCCAGCCCAUGGUACAACCUGUUGAUGUCCAGCCCAUGGUACAGCCUGUUGAUGUCCAGCCCAUGGUACAGCCUGUUGAUGUCCAGCCCAUGGUACAACCUGUUGAUGUCCAGCCCAUGGUACAGCCUGUUGAUGUCCAGCCCAUGGUACAACCUGUUGAUGUCCAGCCCAUGGUACAGCCUGUUGAUGUCCAGUCCAUGGUACAGCCUGUUGAUGUCCAGUCCAUGGUACAGCCUGUUGAUGUCCAACCCAUGGUACAGCCUGUUGAUGUCCAACCCAUGGUACAACCUGUUGACUUCCAUCAUGAAUUACAGCCACACGAUACCAUGGUUCUUGCCCAGUCUGUAGAAGAUAUUCAAGCCCAAUCAGUCCAUGACCAGACACAAGAUAGUAGGUCUGAAAGAAUAGAUUGCAGCCUAGAUGAAGACGAUAUGGACAUAUCAGGCCUUACUGGAAUUUUGGAUGCUUUAGAAGAGGAACCUGAAGAUAUGGCAUUAUCACCAAUCCUGACAUUUAUGGAGGAUGCUGUUGUUGCAGAAAAUGAUUGUUCUGAAGAAGAGAAAGCGCCACGGUUGAUAACUGGCCAUUUGUCCAUUAUUUUAAGAAGUGUACAAAGGGUUGGACUAUGCAAGACAUCCACCAUACCAUUAUUUUUGAAGACAUUGAUGGUACACUAAAAGCACCAGCAAUGGAAUCCCAGGGAAGGAGGAUAAUUUACAAAUUUGAAGAAUUAGAUUCCUAGCUCUUAGUCAUGAGCUGAAUGAAGUGAAGUAAAAAUUCAUUAAAGGUUUAGAAACACUGGAUACCUUGUCUGUAAACUUCAAGAGAGAAAGAAUGAAAAAUUAAAAGAUAGCAAAUAAAUAAUGUUAAUGUGAAGAACUGUCUUAUUUUUUAUAUUGAAAAUUGGCAAAAGCUUCGUGUCAAUCGAGUUCUAAACUGAAACUGAAACAACUGUUCAGUCACUUAACAAUCAGAUCUAACCAGAAUAAAUAUUCAAUGAAAUUUCUGUCAUGUUACAUGAAAUGUCUGUCAUGUUACAUGAUACGUCCGUCAAGUUACAUGAUUUGUCUGUCAGUGUUACAUGACAUUUUUUUCAACAAUGAAUAAAAACAAGAUUUCUAAUUUUAUUAUCUUUUAAAGUGUUUAUUCUUAAUCAGUAAACCUAGCUCACUCCAAAAAAGCAGAAAAAAUAGAAAAAUGUUUAUUUUGAAAAUUUUAUAUGUCUGUCCCAUAGAAUGUGAC